UGGCACGCCAGAUGUUUUGGACUACACCUCCCAUGAUGCCUUGCCAGCACUAUGGGUGUCAGAGCAUUAUGGGGGAUGUAGUCUAAAACAUCUGGAGUGCCG
RNAcentral lists this microRNA precursor (102 nucleotides) under Pelobates cultripes (western spadefoot toad). The record is from RNAcentral. Lineage: Eukaryota; Metazoa; Chordata; Amphibia; Anura; Pelobatidae.